Molecule: long non-coding RNA, 627 nt
Organism: Trichomycterus rosablanca
Lineage: Eukaryota; Metazoa; Chordata; Actinopteri; Siluriformes; Trichomycteridae
Exons: 3
Source: RefSeq, a predicted model, not a curated record
AGACACGGUGGCCGAUUAGAGUCUGCUGCAGGCAUUGCCAAGUUUCAAACCAAGGAGUUCAGAAUCUCGGUGCUGGUGCUCUAGCGGAAUAUCCCCCACAUGUGUGUCAUUUAAUGGCACACAUUUUAUCUUGUCCUUAUAUUUUGGUCCAGCCUUAAUUAUACAUGGAAAGCAGAGGCACAUAGCCAUCUUCGACAAAGUCCUUUCAGGUGGUGACAGGACAAUCCUUAUGGGCCAACAGCAGCUGCUUCAAGUGAGCAACCUCGUUUCGUAAGAGAGAGACCUCGGUCUGACGAACACGCACACAGACGCAAGCACAAUCAGACCUCGUCACGGAGGAUAUUCCAGGUAUGACCCAACUAUUCCUGGAAAUGCUCAUUUACCUACAAAAGGAAGAAGGAAACUGUUCUUCUGCUGUGACUGAAUCAUUCUAGCAAACUGCUAUGACAAAACAACUUUAUUUUCUUUUAUUCAAUGUAUUAUUUUAUUUUUUAUGCUGGGUUAUUUAUUGGGGUUUUAUUUUAUCUUGUCUUUAUAUUUGGUCAGAUUUAUAUUUUCAUUUUUAUCGCUGUAAGGUAGGUUAAAACUGUCUUUUAUGCUGGGUUAAAGGUUACACAGCAACCUUUA